This is a long non-coding RNA of Lontra canadensis (Northern American river otter), 262 nucleotides long. RefSeq lists it as uncharacterized. NCBI's taxonomy places the organism in Eukaryota, Metazoa, Chordata, Mammalia, Carnivora, Mustelidae. The transcript has 3 exons. The record is from RefSeq and is a predicted model, not a curated record.
CGGUGCGCUGGGUGGGGCUAGUGCGGCCCGGCCGGGAGGCGGCUCGUCUGCGGCGCUGAGGUCGUCCCAAGGGGCUGCUUCUGGGGCCCUCCUGGCCCGCUGACUCGAGGCCCUUUCCCUUCCCGGCUCCUCUCCGCCGCGCGGACGGUCACCAGCUCUCCAGACUCACCGCAGCCCGCAGCGUGACCCGGGCCUUGCCCUCGCUUCUGGGUGCAGGGAGCACAAGCAGGGGGAGUGACAGGCAGAGUGAGAAGAAGCCUCC